CGAGGGUGUUUUGGGGUACGAGGGUGGCGUUUUCUGCGAGUGCGGACAGAGGAUGGCAAGAUUCAUUUCGUGGGGUUGUUUCCCGGGGAGGAGGUUCUACAGGUGCCAGGUAAGUUUUCAUGACAGCAAUUCCAUUUAUUUUUUAUGAUUUUCUUCUUUUAUUUUGGGUCUAAUCUGCUAAGUCUUUUUGUUUGCAUUUAUUUAGGCUGGUCGUGGAUUAGCGGAAUGGUAUGAUCCUCCCUUUUCUCAGUAUGUCACAAAUUUGUUCGGUGACUUGCGAGAUCAUGUGCUGG
This 293-nucleotide long non-coding RNA is filed under the name Sorghum bicolor (sorghum). RNAcentral's name for it is "long non-coding RNA (SBIC_LNC004699)". The record is from RNAcentral. Lineage: Eukaryota; Viridiplantae; Streptophyta; Magnoliopsida; Poales; Poaceae.